This 1535-nucleotide ribosomal RNA is filed under the name Vibrio cholerae. RNAcentral's name for it is "bacterial LSU rRNA". It matches the Rfam family "Bacterial large subunit ribosomal RNA", at positions 468 to 1999 of the family's 2925-position model. The record is from RNAcentral. Lineage: Bacteria; Pseudomonadati; Pseudomonadota; Gammaproteobacteria; Vibrionales; Vibrionaceae.
AAACACUCCCGAGAGACCGAUAGUGAACCAGUACCGUGAGGGAAAGGUGAAAAGUACUUCAAAUAGAAGAGUGAAAUAGUUCCUGAAACCAUGCGCUUACAAGCGGUCGGAGCAGCUUUUUAGUUGUGACGGCGUGCCUUUUGCAUAAUGAACCUACGAGUUGCCUUUGCCGGCAAGGUUAAGUGUGACGACACACGUAUCCGAAGCGAAAGCGAGUCUGAACAGGGCGUAUAGUCGGCAGUGGCAGACGCGAAACCAAGUGAUCUACCCUUGGCCAGGUUGAAGGCUGGGUAACACCAGCUGGAGGACCGCACCAAUAAGCGUUGAAAAGCUUCUGGAUGAGCUGAGGGUAGGGGUGAAAGGCUAAUCAAACUUGGAGAUAGCUCGUACUCCCCGAAAUGCAUUUAGGUGCAGCCUUGCGGGUUACUGAUGUGAGGUAGAGCGACUGAUAAGAUGCGAGGGCUUCACCGCCUAUCAAGUCUUGACAAACUCCGAAUGCGCAUCAGUUCUACCGCAGGAGUGAGGGCAUGGGUGCUAAGGUCCGUGCCCGAGAGGAGAAGAAUCCGGACCACCAGCUAAGGUCCCGAAAUGACAGCUAAGUUGAACUAACGAAGUCAGAUUGCUAAGACAGCUAGGAUGUUGGCUUGGAAGCAGCCAUUCAUUUAAAGAGUGCGUAACAGCUCACUAGUCGAGGAGUCGGGCGUGGAUAAUAAUCGGGUAUCAAGUUGUCUACCGAAGCAGUGGGAUCAUUAAUAUGAUCGGUAGGGGAGCAUUCCAGUCGGCGUCGAAGGCGUACCGUGAGGUAUUCUGGAGCGUCUGGAAAAGCAAAUGUAGGUAUAAGUAACGAUAAAGGGGGCGGGAAACCCCCUCGCCGAAAGACUAAGGUUUCCUGAUCAACGCUAAUCGGAUCAGGGUCAGUCGGGUCCUAAGGCUCAGCCGAACGGCGAUGCCGAUGGCAGAAACGGUUAAUAUUCCGUUACUACCUUCAGGAGUGACGUGGAGACGCAGUAGUGACAGUGCCGCCAUCUGACGGAAUAGAUGGUUGAAGGGUGUAGGAGUCGAUCAUGGCAGGCAAAUCCACCAUGAGAUCCGAACCUGAUAGUAUGCCGCGUCCUUCGGGACAAGGCAAUAGUGCGCGUAAGCAUGCUGCCGAGAAAAUCCGCUAAACUUAAUCCUGCAGGUACCCGUACCGCAAACGGACACACGUAGUCGGGAUGAAUAUUCUAAGGCGCUUGAGUGAUUCACGGUUAAGGAACUAGGCAAACUGACCCUGUAACUUCGGGAUAAAGGGUCCCUACCCUUUUAUGGGAGGGCGCAGAGAAUCGGUCCAGGCAACUGUUUAACAAAAACACAGGGCUGUGCCAAAUCGAAAGAUCCAGUAUACAGCCUGACACCUGCCCGGUGCUGGAAGGUUAAGAGGAGAGGUUAUCGCAAGCGAAGCUUUGAAUUUAAGCCCCAGUAAACGGCGGCCGUAACUAUAACGGUCCUAAGGUAGCGAAAUUCCUUGUCGGGUAAGUUCCGACCUGCACGAAUGG